CUCGCUAUCACAAUUAAAAUUAAAUAUUUUAUUUCAUUUGGUUACAAUAGCAACCCAAUUUAUGGACUUGGUCAAUAACACACUGUUUCAUAUGAUAUCUGACAUAUGCCUCUAUAAUGGAGUUAUGAAAGUACUAAACACAGGGUCUUUUGUUUUGCUCAAAGCAUAAUUUAUUAUGCAGGCAGUACCAUCAAAAUGAACUUAGUCAAAUGUCGAACAAUAUAUGUAGAGAGACAAUUUCUUUUUUCUUUCUUCAAUUUUCAAAUUGGUAAUUUUUUUAAGGGCUACAGUUUUAAUUUGGGACUCUUGUACUAGGAAUAUCAUAUCUUUAGCAGAAUUGUGCCACUGAAUUAAAAGGGAACACUUUUUUUUUCUAGGUGCACAUGAUGCAAAGUCUAGGAUGGUGUGUAGGCUGUUUGUCAACAUCUGAAACCCACAUGUAUUUCAGGGAAAUUCUUGUCAGGACCCAAGACUGAAAAAAGACUGAAAAACUGCCUUUUAACAUAGACAUCAUUCAUGCCAAUGGAUAAACUAGAAACAUCCAAACAAUAUUACAUCAGAAUCAUAAGAGACUGUCAAUUGUUAUCCCUCACUGUGGCAGAAACACCUAAAUAAACAUUGAAAUGAUAAA
Molecule: long non-coding RNA, 631 nt
Organism: Saccostrea cuccullata (small rock oyster)
Lineage: Eukaryota; Metazoa; Mollusca; Bivalvia; Ostreida; Ostreidae
Exons: 2
Source: RefSeq, a predicted model, not a curated record